UCGUAUUUCUAUGGCAUUAACAAUGUUAUACGAAAUUUUAAGUACGUAGUUCCUGUACGUGAAUUGGAUUCACCCUAUGUUUCUUUCCUGCUUGAGACGCUUCCGUCUGAGCGAAUGAUUGGUUAAACUGUACAGUCAAGCGUUUCCAAGUGAUUGUCUAUUGGCGGAUGGGACGUCACUCAAAGGUUGUGCCCGCCUUCUGUGUCUUCAGUUUCACGAGUGCAUUGCAUCUAGUGGAAAAUCCUUUAAUCGGAGUGUUUGAAUUGCAGGCAGAUCUACAGGUAGCUGAAUCCUAGCCGCCAGCAUGUCUGGCACUGCUACAGUUCUGCAGCAGUUUGUGAGUGGCCUUAAGAGUCGAAAU
Molecule: long non-coding RNA, 361 nt
Organism: Cyprinus carpio (common carp)
Lineage: Eukaryota; Metazoa; Chordata; Actinopteri; Cypriniformes; Cyprinidae
Exons: 2
Source: RefSeq, a predicted model, not a curated record